UACGUAGGGUGCAAGCGUUAAUCGGAAUUACUGGGCGUAAAGCGUGCGCAGGCGGUUAUGUAAGACAGGGGGGAAAUCCCCGGGCUUAACCUGGGAACUGCAUUUGUGACUGCAUAGCUAGAGUACGGUAGAGGGGGAUGGAAUUCCGCGUGUAGCAGUGAAAUGCGUAGAUAUGCGGAGGAACACCGAUGGCGAAGGCAAUCCCCUGGACCUGUACUGACGCUCAUGCACGAAAGCGUGGGGAUCAAACAGG
RNAcentral lists this ribosomal RNA (253 nucleotides) under uncultured bacterium. RNAcentral describes it as "partial 16S ribosomal RNA". It matches the Rfam family "Bacterial small subunit ribosomal RNA", at positions 524 to 776 of the family's 1533-position model. The record is from RNAcentral.